ACACCAUCCCCAGACACCUCAUUCCUACACCUCCACAACAUCCCCCAACUCCACACCCCUGCAACAUCCCCCAGCCCCUCAACAGACACCUCCUGCACCACACCCCCAUAUCAUCACCAGACACCUCAUUCCUACACCCCCAGACACCCACACAUCCUCCAGCACCACAACCCCCACACCAUCCCCAGGCACCUCAUUCCUAUACCCCCUGACACCCCCUCAAUAUCCCCCUGCCCCCCACAGACACCCCCUAUACCUUCCAGUCACCCCCAACACCACACCCCCUACACCAUCCCCAGACACUUCACUCCUAUACCCCCAGACACCCCCUACACACCCACAACAAUCUCCCAGACACCCACAACACCACACCCCCAACCCUAACUGAGGUGAGGCUGAGAGAUGGUCAUGAUUGAUGUGGGUACUGGGGGAUGAAUUAGUAUGUUGGGGUUGGUGAGCAGCUGGAAGCUCCAUGCUAUCAGGCAGCUGGGAGAGCUCCUACUUCGGGGGCCAGUAUCCCCACACUGAGGGAGUUGGCAAAAUUACUCAUCCCACACACCAGGGUGAGGUGGGGAGUCGGGGGAGAGGGGAGAGUUAAAAGAAAUCAAAAAACAAACCAAAAAAAUAUAACUUAAAAAAAAAACCCUCAUGCUUUUUGGGGGCUGACUCCUGGGGCUGGCAGGUCUGCUACAUGGAGUCACAUCUUUGUCCCAGACUCGGGCAGACACAUAGUCCCUGUGAUAAUAUAGUUUCUUUAGCACUCGUGUACGCAGGCUCCUCAGCACUCUGAUUCUCCUGCCGCCCCAGUUGAGGAACUAGCAUGUGGCCUUAUAGGCAGGACUCCUGGUUGUUUGACUGGAGAGGAGAGGGAAGCAGACUUAGCUCAUAAGCAGCUUGCUGUCUCCUGGCACCCACAUGCCUGCAAGCUAGCCCUGCUGGACUUUCCUUACCGCACUGCAGCCAUUCGUUGCUUUUCUGGAUGGGAAAUGAGAGUGGAGAGUGAGGAACCUUGGAGCCGCCAAAGCAACAGGGCAUUGACCCCAGCCGAGGGAUCCAAACUCGGUAACAUUACCCCAGCCCACCUGUGACUGCUGGAAGCUGUGGUUAUUCAUUACAUGUCUUUGCUUGGUUUCUUUUAGUAUCACCUGAACCAGCUGGGCCACAGGAAGGCAGCGGGCACACAACUACAAUUACACCUUCAGUCUGCAUGGGGCUGCAGGAAAAAAAGCCAGGCAACUUCUCUGAAUCCCAGGCAGAGAGGAGCAGCAGCAACACCUUUUUCAGCUAUAUGGCCUUUGGGAAAGAACCAGCACAGAGGAGCCAGCCUGAGCCAACCAAAAAUUGAAGCUGCAGAGCAAUUGCAGGAGUAUGAACACCGAUAAUAUCUUCCACAGUUUGACUGGUCUACCUCUGUCCUGAGCUGAUCAUGUUUGCUCCAACCCCCUGCCUCACGGUCUCCUCCCCUCAGCUGAUUCUGUGUGUUAAUAUCCUAACCCGCUGCUGUCCAAGGGGCAUGUAACUGUCUGCUGUAGAGACCAAGGCCGGGAAGCAUAGUACUGGCAGGAAAUCAAGAUGCUUUCAUAUCCAACCAUUUCCCUUCCCCCAGCCUUGUUUCUUUCUCUCUGUUCAACGUAUUAUGUUUUGACAGUAUCCCUUUGGACUUUUCAUAAACUUUGGCUCUAAACAUUAGUCCCAGGGGACUGUCUCUUUGUUCUGGAUUUGUAACCACCUAGAACAAUGAGGUUCAAAUAAUAAUAAUAAUAUAAUAUAA
Mauremys mutica (yellowpond turtle) is the source of this 1771-nucleotide long non-coding RNA. RefSeq lists it as uncharacterized. The transcript is spliced from 3 exons. The record is from RefSeq and is a predicted model, not a curated record. Lineage: Eukaryota; Metazoa; Chordata; Testudines; Geoemydidae.